RNAcentral lists this ribosomal RNA (253 nucleotides) under uncultured bacterium. RNAcentral's name for it is "partial 16S ribosomal RNA". It matches the Rfam family "Bacterial small subunit ribosomal RNA", at positions 524 to 776 of the family's 1533-position model. The record is from RNAcentral.
UACGUAGGGGGCUAGCGUUGUCCGGAAUCACUGGGCGUAAAGAGCGUGUAGGCGGCCCGGUAAGUCCGCUGUAAAAGCCAAAGGCUCAACCUUUGAAUGUCAGUGGAUACUGCCGGGCUAGAGUCCGGAAGAGGCGAGUGGAACUCCUGGUGUAGCGGUGGAAUGCGCAGAUAUCAGGAAGAACACCAACGGCGAAGGCAGCUCGCUAGGACGGUACUGACGCUGAGACGCGAAAGCGUGGGGAGCGAACAGG